AUUGAACGCUGGCGGCAUGCCUUACACAUGCAAGUCGAACGGUAACGCGGGGCAACCUGGCGACGAGUGGCGAACGGGUGAGUAAUAUAUCGGAACGUGCCCAGUAGUGGGGGAUAACCAGUCGAAAGACUGGCUAAUACCGCAUACGGCCUACGGGUGAAAGCGGGGGAUCGCAAGACCUCGCGCUAUUGGAGCGGCCGAUGUCAGAUUAGGUAGUUGGUGAGGUAAAGGCUCACCAAGCCUUCGAUCUGUAGCUGGUCUGAGAGGACGACCAGCCACACUGGGACUGAGACACGGCCCAGACUCCUACGGGAGGCUG
RNAcentral lists this ribosomal RNA (319 nucleotides) under uncultured Pseudomonadota bacterium. Its description in RNAcentral is "bacterial SSU rRNA". It matches the Rfam family "Bacterial small subunit ribosomal RNA", at positions 30 to 351 of the family's 1533-position model. The record is from RNAcentral. Lineage: Bacteria; Pseudomonadati; Pseudomonadota.